Molecule: transfer RNA, 73 nt
Filed under: Felis catus (domestic cat)
Lineage: Eukaryota; Metazoa; Chordata; Mammalia; Carnivora; Felidae
Rfam family: tRNA
About the family: Transfer RNA (tRNA) molecules are approximately 80 nucleotides in length. Their secondary structure includes four short double-helical elements and three loops (D, anti-codon, and T loops).
Source: Rfam by way of RNAcentral
GCCUGGCAGGCUCAGGUGACAGAGCAUAUGACUUUUGAUCUUGGGGUUGUGAGUUCAAGCCUUAUGCUGGGUG